UCGUCAUCUCCCCUUCGGUUCCCUGUGUUGCAUACCUUCGAGACGGUAUCCUGUCGGCUAGAAUCGCCCCGUUUCGCCCGACGUCGCGAGCAACAUCGCGACCGAGGGCGAACCGAAAAGCACUCAUCGCGUUCCACCCCGUUCGCGUGACGCGCUGCGGGACACGGCCCGCGAUGACGUGCUCGAAUUCUCGGAUGCGGAACACGA
Molecule: unclassified non-coding RNA, 207 nt
Filed under: Fraxinus angustifolia
Lineage: Eukaryota; Viridiplantae; Streptophyta; Magnoliopsida; Lamiales; Oleaceae
Description: partial external transcribed spacer
Source: RNAcentral